GAGCAGGUGAUGAAUUUUUCUGCGAAUGCAGUGAGGUCAUCGAUGAUGCAACAAAAUAUCGAGCUUUUUAAAACUGAUGCUAU
Nymphaea colorata (pocket water lily) is the source of this 83-nucleotide small nucleolar RNA. Lineage: Eukaryota; Viridiplantae; Streptophyta; Magnoliopsida; Nymphaeales; Nymphaeaceae. The record is from RefSeq and is a predicted model, not a curated record.